CGACCGGCGCACGGGUGCGUAACGCGUAUGCAACCUACCUUUAACAGGGGGAGUAACACUGAGAAAUUGGUACUAAUACCCCAUAAUAUCAUAGAAGGCAUCUUUUAUGGUUGAAAAUUCCGAUGGUUAGAGAUGGGCAUGCGUUGUAUUAGCUAGUUGGUGGGGUAACGGCUCACCAAGGCGACGAUACAUAGGGGGACUGAGAGGUUAACCCCCCACACUGGUACUGAGACACGGACCAG
Molecule: ribosomal RNA, 242 nt
Filed under: uncultured bacterium
Lineage: Bacteria
Description: partial 16S ribosomal RNA
Rfam family: Bacterial small subunit ribosomal RNA
Source: RNAcentral